Non-coding RNA from Salvelinus sp. IW2-2015, 4055 nucleotides. The record is from RefSeq and is a predicted model, not a curated record. NCBI's taxonomy places the organism in Eukaryota, Metazoa, Chordata, Actinopteri, Salmoniformes, Salmonidae.
GGGAGAGAUAAAGAGGAGGAUGGAUGUGAUGAAAUCGAGAGAUAAUGUACUUUAUUGUUUGGUGCCUUUUASAUUCCUUUUCAGAUCUCUUACUCAGGGCUUGUUAAUGACGUGCCGUAAAUUGUUCUAUGCAGUCCCCUCUCCCAGUGUGAGCAGGCCCUGACAAUAGUUCUGUGUUCACAGUAAUUGCCUCGGCGUGUGUAGCGUCGGCUGGGGCAGUAUGGACGUGUUACCUGAAGUGAUGCAGGGGGGUCCCACUCAUAUGUCUGUAGCUCGCUUAGCCCUCGCCCCCCUCAGCCCCCCAAUGAGCAUACACACAUGUACUCAGUGGGACCCAGACUGGGUCACUUUUACCAAGCAGUACCAUUUAUGUGACAGUUCUGACUGUAUGUGACCUAAUAACAUAAAAUAACAUGACCUAUGAUGUUAUUUAUGUUAUUUUUACACGCCAAGAACCCCGGUAAACCUUGCGGUUUUGAAACUGAGUGAAGCAGGCGUCUUAGACAAACUGAAAAACAAAUGGUGGUACGAUAAGGGCGAGUGUGGACCCAAGGACUCGGGAAGUAAGGUCAGUGUCACGGGCAGAGUGGGGGACCAAACACCCUCACUGUGUGACAGUCAGGCACGCCUCCAGAUUAGCCUGGAGACUAGGAUUAGCCUUAGAAUUAGCAUCAAUUAAAUCUAAAUAAUCAAAUGAUAAUAGUUGAUUGAUUUACUGUUGAAUACCUUUCUAGUUCUAUCACUGCUAGUCUUCUGCCUAUGCCACAUCUGCCUUUAUAAUAUGAUUUUAAAGCAAAAAAUAAUUAUACUACAUCAAUUCUGGAAAAUGUGUUAUGGCCUUCAUAAUAAUGGGCUUAAUCUCAGAAUAGCAUUCAGUUCACUAUUCUCUGGGUUACUCUGGGUAGAAGACAAGUCAAAGUGUGGAGAGGUUCUUUGAAACAUCAUGAGUUUGAUAAAACUACAGAUAAUCUUGGAAUAUUUAAGAUGUCCUUAAACACUACAGAUGUCUUUAGAAGAACACUUGAGGCAUUCUUAGAACAUCAGAGAACUCUUAAGAAUGCCAGUGAAGUUCUUAAAAUCCUAGGGACCUUCACCAAGACUGUCUGAAUAGAAUAGUUUAUCAUCACUCAUCCAAAAGCCUGACCAAUACGAUGACUGAACAUAGUUUAAUUGGUACGGUGUACUAGUCAUCCUCGACUUAAUACUUAAUACUUGUAAGAAUACAUUAAAAUGUUUAUUUACUUUAAUUGUAGUCAUGCAUUAGUAGUAGCUAUGUAGUAGAUGAAGUACUACUGUCAUAGUAGUACUAAUAGAUGUAUUAUAUGCACUUGUAGAUAAUAAGCUUUUAUGAUGGCAGUAGUAGAAAUGCUUACCCUAGCAGACUAGUCAUAGUAGUGGUAGUGGCUGUUGUUGUUAGCAAGUAGUAGAUGUUAUUGUGCUAAAAAAUAAAUAACUAAGACUUAGUCAUAUGAUGUUGAUAAGCUGCCUGUUGUGUCUCACUAGCGCCACUGUCUCUCUCUCUCUCUAAACCUGUGCUCUCCGUCCCCCCUCCCAGGACAAGUCCUCCCAGGCCCUGAGCCUGAGCAACGUGGCUGGGGUCUUCUACAUCCUGGUGGGGGGUCUGGGCCUAGCCAUGCUGGUGGCCCUGGUUGAGUUCUGCUACAAGUCGCGCGCCGAGGCCAAGCGCAUGAAGGUGGACCUUAGCCCCCCUCACUGCCCCAGCCCCUCUCCCAGCACCCAGAAUUUAGCCACUUAUAGAGAGGGGUACAACGUAUACGGCUCCGAGGGGGUCAAGAUAUAGGGCUGCCCUUCACAGAAGCCAUGCGGAACAAGGCUCGGCUGUCAAUCACGGGCAGUGUGGGUGAGAAUGGGCGUGUCUUAACCCCGGACUGCCCUAAGGCCGUCCAUGCUGGCCACUCCCUCAGACACCCAGGGCUUACCCUACCAUCGGGCCUACCCUGAAAACCAAAAACACACACUGUGCCUUAACCACACACACGGCUACGUCAUUACCACCCCGACGCCACACACACAGACACACAGACCAGAGACCGCCAGCAAGCUAACAGCAACAACAGGGAGAGAGGAGGGACAAAUAUGAUGAUCACCAUCACACUAAAAUCCUAACUUGAGCUCCAUGAAACAAGGACAACAAGGUGCCAAACUGACAGUGUCAGCACACUAACGACACAGGAACCGAAAUAAACAAAAAGAUGGCGAUGUUGAUGACGAAGACUUUGGGCAGCGUCAUGAACAGGCAGACAUGUGACUUUAUCUGCUCRGACGUGAUAGAAUGGGUCCUCUAACAAGCCACACCCCUGACGCCAUACCAGGAAACUAUGCUUUAGGACAAACACCACCAUCAUCAUAAUCUUCAUCAUCUUCACUUGCCUGCGAGGAAUAAGCGGCAGGAGAAUCUCUUAUAAGACCAGAAAACUGUAAACCUGAAAACAUUGGACUGUACAAACCUGCUCUUUCGCCGUGAACUGGUCAGACGAACAUGCUUUCUUACAACACUUUGGUUAGCGUCUCGCAAAAACAACGCAGAGAUCACUGAAGUUACCGUAYWKGACGACAYCUCGAUGGAUAUCUCCAAACUCACACGGCUAACACAACCGUAGGAUUCACAGGGGUUUGUAGAAAUAACCUACAAAACGAGUAAUAGUUAUUGAAAUGAUCCAUAAAUAACAAUGAGAUGUAUCACUUCUCUGGGCGGGGAACACAGGUAAACGCUGUACAUUCUGUGAAAAGUGAGGAAAACGUAUCAAAGUUKAUCUCAAAUGAGACAUUAUCCCCAACAUAAGGCAUUAUUUUMGACCAGGGCCACAUUUAGCCAGCUAGGCCUCUGGUCUAAAGAGGUGUGUCAAGUGAGACGUAGCCAUGUUGUUUUUCAGUGGAGGGGGAGGUACUGUAUCAGAAGCUUGCUUUUUAAACUGUUGUAAAUAACCGCGUAGCAAAACUGAAAUCACCUCUCUUUUUUAACCAUCUUAGGUAAUAAUUCAUUGCAAUAAUGAAUAUAACAAAAUGCCACUUGUAAUUAUGAAUACACCUUUUUCUAAAUACAUAUUAUAUACAGUACAAAUGAAUAUAUAUCUAUACAUCUACAGAGAGCUAUAGAACAUUAGAUUAUCACCAUUGAGUGAGGCCAUGACAUAUGUUCUGUUAAAGGGUGUUUUGAUAAUGAUAAAGAUUCAUUUCCACAGUCUUUGUGUGUCCUAAUCCACACUGAAUGUCAAUCUGACACUCACAAACACAUCCACAAACACACACACACACAUCACUUACACAGGGUCAACUCUUGCAGAGAUCUUCAGCAACACACAAGAUGCUCCUUUUUUUUUCUAGUUGUUUGUUCCCCAUUUUGUUUUAUUUUGUUGUUUUGUCCAUCAUUGAGAACAUAGCCUCUGUACGUACAAUAGUCCCAGAUCUUCUUUGUGUUUAAUCCUCUAGCCGUGUUCUUUUGUCUGACCGUCUUCUGUUUUAAAGGCUAUUACAGCAGUCUGGAGAGGCUAAGAGGGAAGGGAGAAAGAAAAAUAACAACAAAAUGAAGUACCAGACAUUUAGACUGAAAGAGUUCUAACUGAAUGGUGGAGUUUGGUGGCAUUGACAGCAGUUGCAGGGGUAGUAUUGCCUUGGKCCUGGACUUUUGAGCACUCUGUAUCUCCUCAUCUCUCCUCUCACUGAGAGGGUCACUGCACAGAGUCCUCUUGACCUAACCCCUGACAUUAAACCUUUGACCUUCUCUAGCUUUGACCUUUAGACUCUUAUAGGCACUGACARYACCAGUCAGCCUUUAAACUAUCACUCUGAGCCCUAGUCUUAUUCUCUCUCCCUCUCCUAACCCUCUAGAACUUACAAGACAUUUAGAUUAUUUCAUUUUUAUAUUUUUCAAUCUCCCACCAGAUGAACUAAAACCCAGACAGGCAAUCCUAUCUGUGUAUUMUUGAAGCAGACAUGUUGACUGCUGGCUGGCUACUAACCACUUCAGCGUUUUCUGGGUUUAACACAAUCUUUCUUUGUAUUUGGUUACGUUUUCUAGUAAAAUAUCAACCCCU